UAGGGAAUUUUCGUCAAUGGGCGCAAGCCUGAACGAGCGAUGCCGCGUGAGUGAAGAAGGCCUUCGGUCGUAAAGCUCUGUUGCGGGGGAAAAAAGGCAGCAUCAGGAAAUGGGUGCUGACUGAUGGUGCCCCGCCAGAAAGUCACGGCUAACUACGUGCCAGCAGCC
RNAcentral lists this ribosomal RNA (168 nucleotides) under uncultured bacterium. RNAcentral describes it as "partial 16S ribosomal RNA". It matches the Rfam family "Bacterial small subunit ribosomal RNA", at positions 355 to 516 of the family's 1533-position model. The record is from RNAcentral.